GAGACCCACGCCAACAGUUGCCAGCUCGUCCUCCGGGAUGGUGGGGACACUGUUGGGACCGCCUCUGCUAAAGAGGAGGAAGGAAUGGGCAACGGUAGGUCAGCAUGCCCCGAAUUAUCCGGGCUACACGCGGGCUACAAUGGGUGGGACAAUGGGUAUCGACACCGAGAGGUGAAGGCAAUCUCCUAAACCCAUCCUUAGUUCGGAUUGUGGGCUGCAACUCGCCCACAUGAGGCUGGAAUCUGUAGUAAUCGUGUCUCAACAUGGCACGGUGAAUAU
This 279-nucleotide ribosomal RNA is filed under the name uncultured archaeon. Its description in RNAcentral is "partial 16S rRNA". It matches the Rfam family "Archaeal small subunit ribosomal RNA", at positions 1047 to 1325 of the family's 1478-position model. The record is from RNAcentral.